Molecule: unclassified non-coding RNA, 292 nt
Filed under: Hevea brasiliensis (rubber tree)
Lineage: Eukaryota; Viridiplantae; Streptophyta; Magnoliopsida; Malpighiales; Euphorbiaceae
Source: RNAcentral
CCAAGUCCAUAGCAGUUUCCCGUUGACUAUUGAUUGCAUUGACGUCAAGCGAUGUAAAGCUCAGUAAAAGGCUUACAAUCUCUGAUCGACACUUUCUAGUUGCUAUAUGCAAAGCUGUAUUUCCCAUCUUGUCUCGUUCAUUCAGUAUAGAUGCAUCGACCUGCAAUAGCUCCUCGACCGCUGCAGUGCUCUGACCUUUCACAGCCAUGUGAAGUGCAGUCUGGGACUUUUUGUCUUUAAUUGCAACUAUUCCAGGAUCAUGAUCAAUAAGCGUUUUCACGAUUCGAAGGAG